Betta splendens (Siamese fighting fish) is the source of this 1375-nucleotide long non-coding RNA. RefSeq lists it as uncharacterized. Lineage: Eukaryota; Metazoa; Chordata; Actinopteri; Anabantiformes; Osphronemidae. The transcript is spliced from 4 exons. The record is from RefSeq and is a predicted model, not a curated record.
GCAAAGUGAACGCCAGCUUUUUGACGAGCACACAGUGGAGGAGCCCUGGUGUUGAAUAACCACCAGUAACAACCCUGAUGGAGGCAGCGUGGGAUCGGUGGGUAAGAGGGGGAUGCUCUUCCUCCUCUGGUGAAAAGCGAACCAGCACAGGGGUCAUAACGUGUCAACAAGGACGCACUAAUAAUAGACCAGGCCCCUCGUCUAUAAUUAGCUUACUACUGGCGCUCCCUAAAUCAUAAUAGUAUUCAGCAGCUCAACCCUACAGGAUCUCCUCCAGGGCUCUGAGGCAGUUCACCAUCACCACCGGAUCUGGGUCCCUUAGCAGACUGUACAGCUCAUUCACCACCGCAGCAUCUGGACCCAUCAUGAACAAAAGAACUGGGCUGGAGAUUAUGCAGUUUGGCCCAGCCAAGCACAGCCACCCGCCGUACACAGGCUGCUCUGUCCCUGAGGCCUGCUGCCAGAGGCUGCUCCACAUACUCCACCAGACUAGAGCCAGGCUGCGAACCAUGGGAUUCGGAUCCUGGCAGUCUUUCCUCAGGGUGUUGAUGACCAGCAGAGACAACUCUGGGUUCAACGUGGCGUAGGAACACAGGAAGACAUAGACCAGUUUCUUCUGGACUAUGUCUACUGUGGCACAUGCUUUGACCAUUUCACUAAACACGCCUGACACAUCUACACCCUGAGACAUCAACCUGAGACAAAAAGGAGAGGGCAGAAAAACGUUACGUAUAUGAAAUUUUGCACAAAAGAAGGGGAAAGGACAGGAGGCAGAUAAGUGAAGAAUUUAACAGCAGAGAGAUUCCAAGAAGGAUAAGAGGGAAAUAAAGAGCAUGUAAGUUAAGAGGCCCACACAGAACAAAAGGAAGAUCUGGCGAAUUAUUGUUUAUUAUUAUUACUGUUAACACUGAAAGUGAAAUGUGGUGAAAGAAGAGGCGCAAAUGACAUGUUUGACAUGAAACAUAAACUUGGCAUGCUAAGAAUCAUAGAAACACUUGCCACUGUUAAAGGAAAGGAUCAACACUGUACAUGUACAUAAAAGAUAUGUGAGCAAUACGCUGCUUUCUAGAAUUAAUUGCAGAUAAGGUCCUUUAUCUAGAAACUGCAGGAGCUAACAGCAAACACAACCAGGUGUUUUUCUAAAGAUAAAUCCUUUGUACUUCAAGGAAACCAUGUUUCUAAGAGUUGCACAAACUUACUGUGGUGGAAACAAACCACAAGACACAUAAUUCAGUUUGUUUUUUUAGUCUAUGAUUUCUUAGGAUUCAUGUAGAGCACCGAGGAGGCUGUGUAACAUGAUACGACUGCUUUUUAGCGGAACUUCAAGAGAGCGAUUGCAUCAUCAAAUGGGUGUGAUUAAAAAUGCUUCACUAUA